RNAcentral lists this long non-coding RNA (725 nucleotides) under Gouania willdenowi (blunt-snouted clingfish). Its description in RNAcentral is "lncRNA (ENSGWIG00000017298.1)". Lineage: Eukaryota; Metazoa; Chordata; Actinopteri; Blenniiformes; Gobiesocidae. The record is from RNAcentral.
CACAUCAUCCAAAUGAUCAUUCCCACCUUUUUAGUUGUGAGUGUUGCAUUACAAGUUCACCUGUACUACAAGUUACAUACAAGCUGAGCUGGAUUUAUUUUUGAGUCAUUCCGGUUCUAGGCUUGUCUUUUAUUUGUCCUUAAAUGAGGCCUUAAUUUGAAUGAUUUUCUUAUUUCUAUUUUUCUUUUUCUUUUUUCUUUAGAUGAUCUCUAUGAGCAUCAUGAAGACACUGGAACCUUACCUCAGCACAUUCAGCAGGACUUCCUGAAAUCCCAGUUUGGACUCCAGCGUCUCCGUCAGCAGAUGUUGGCUGCUGACAACGUGUGCUCCAUCUCAGACAAUCCAGAGAGCAGUUUGGGACAGUGGAGUGGAUCCUGUGGAUUUGAUCAGUCAACCUUCUCAAAUCAGUGAAAUAGUUUACAUGAUGAAUGAGCAAUUAUUGUACAUAUUGCACCAAGUAUUUGGCAGUUUUUUUAACUUUUUUUUCCUGACAGAAUGACGCUGGCACAUAUAUUUGCAUGAUUCAUAUUUAUUAAUUAGUUACACUGGUGCCGUGUCAGUGUGGAUUAAAUAUCACCAAACACUGGAAGUGUGAAUUAAAAUAUUGAGCCCAGUUUUUACAGACUGCUGACAUGUAUACAGGUACAGGAACACAACAUGUACAGUAUGUUCCUCAUUCCUUAGCUUAGCUUAUUUUCAUACUGUUCUGAUUGGUUGAUAUUUUG